Long non-coding RNA from Thalassophryne amazonica, 118 nucleotides. RefSeq lists it as uncharacterized. The transcript is spliced from 3 exons. Lineage: Eukaryota; Metazoa; Chordata; Actinopteri; Batrachoidiformes; Batrachoididae. The record is from RefSeq and is a predicted model, not a curated record.
UGAUAAAAUAAUGUUUUAUUACUCUGUUUCUGAUGUGCACCACAUGGUGCAGUACCGACUAGAACCACUGGGUGUAAACUGGGCUGUCGGCAGAUGCUGGUCAACAGCAAGUAUAUAU